RNAcentral lists this long non-coding RNA (319 nucleotides) under Arachis ipaensis. Its description in RNAcentral is "long non-coding RNA (AIPA_LNC001539)". The record is from RNAcentral. Lineage: Eukaryota; Viridiplantae; Streptophyta; Magnoliopsida; Fabales; Fabaceae.
ACCACCGCAUCUACCUUCUCCUUCUUCUCCUCUCUUUUAAACACUGAACCAGUAGAACACAGCCCCUGUCUCUCUCGUUCUUUCUCGUUCGCAGAACAAAUCAAGCUCAAGCUCCUAUUCUCUUCGUCUUAGGUGAGCUCCAGCACGCCGGCGCCACCUGCAGCAGCGUCUAUCCCCACCACCACCGCGCCUCUCUCUCUCCUUUUAUCCCCACUCAGUUCUGGCUCGCAUAUCUUCUCAGCGCCGCAGCCAUCAUCUCCUCCAGUCAAUGCUUCCAGGUUUUGGUUUCAAAAUUCUUUUAAUUUCUGUUAAGUUCAAU